AGUGGGGGAUAACCCUCCGAAAGGAGGGCUAAUACCGCAUAAUAUCUUCUCCUCCAAAAGAGGUAAAGAUUAAAGAUGGCCUCUAUACUAUGCUAUCACUUCAGGAUGAGCCCGCGUCCUAUUAGUUAGUUGGUGGGGUAAUGGCCUACCAAGACCACAAUGGGUAGCCGGUCUGAGAGGAUGUACGGCCACACUGGGACUGAGAUACGGCCCAGACUCCUACGGGAGGCAGCAGUGGGGAAUAUUGCGCAAUGGGGGAAACCCUGACGCAGCGACGCCGCGUGGAUGAUGAAGGCCCUUGGGUUGUAAAAUCCUGUUCUGGGGGAAGAAAGCUUAAAGGUCCAAUAAACCCUUAAGUCUGACGUACCCCA
This 371-nucleotide ribosomal RNA is filed under the name uncultured bacterium. RNAcentral's name for it is "bacterial SSU rRNA". It matches the Rfam family "Bacterial small subunit ribosomal RNA", at positions 135 to 482 of the family's 1533-position model. The record is from RNAcentral.